GAUGAACGCUGGCGGCGUGCCUAAUACAUGCAAGUCGAGCGAACAGACGAGGAGCUUGCUCCUCUGACGUUAGCGGCGGACGGGUGAGUAACACGUGGAUAACCUACCUAUAAGACUGGGAUAACUUCGGGAAACCGGAGCUAAUACCGGAUAAUAUAUUGAACCGCAUGUUUAAUUAGUGAAAGACGGUUUUGCUGUCACUAAUAGAUGGAUCCGCGCCGCAUUAGCUAGUUGGUAAGGUAACGGCUUACCAAGGAAACGAUGCGUAGCCGACCUGAGAGGGUGAUCGGCCACACUGGAACUGAGACACGGUCCAGACUCCUACGGGAGGCAGCAGUAGGGAAUCUUCCGCAAUGGGCGAAAGCCUGACGGAGCAACGCCGCGUGAGUGAUGAAGGUCUUCGGAUCGUAAAACUCUGUUAUUAGGGAAGAACAAAUGUGUAAGUAACUAUGCACGUCUUGACGGUACCUAAUCAGAAAGCCACGGCUAACUACGUG
RNAcentral lists this ribosomal RNA (497 nucleotides) under uncultured bacterium. RNAcentral describes it as "partial 16S ribosomal RNA". It matches the Rfam family "Bacterial small subunit ribosomal RNA", at positions 28 to 507 of the family's 1533-position model. The record is from RNAcentral.